AUGUCCUCACCAUACAUUCCCACCCUCCACCACGAACAAACCGCUAAGGCUCCCUUUCUAUUUUUGCAGUCGCCACUGCCACCAAAAAACGACAAGUUUGUUAAGAGUUUUUUGCACACCUCAAACUCAACAAUGGUGGAUGCACCUCUCUCCAUUGUAAUUGCUCCUUCGAUGUUGAUAAUUUGUCCACCCCUGAAGUCGUCAUGGUUAUUUUACACUAUAAUAUUAUUUCUUCUAUCAAAGUUGUUUAAUUUUGUUUAUGUGUUAUCUGUCUUUUAG
Vicia faba (fava bean) is the source of this 279-nucleotide non-coding RNA. Lineage: Eukaryota; Viridiplantae; Streptophyta; Magnoliopsida; Fabales; Fabaceae. The record is from the annotation of a GenBank genome assembly.